Molecule: non-coding RNA, 72 nt
Organism: Ixodes scapularis (black-legged tick)
Lineage: Eukaryota; Metazoa; Arthropoda; Arachnida; Ixodida; Ixodidae
Source: Rfam
GCCGUGAUCGUAUAGUGGUUUGUACCUUGCGUUGUAGCCUCAAUAACCCAGGUUCGAGUCCUGGUCACGGCA